Molecule: ribosomal RNA, 1356 nt
Filed under: metagenome
Description: bacterial SSU rRNA
Rfam family: Bacterial small subunit ribosomal RNA
Source: RNAcentral
AGAGUUUGAUCCUGGCUCAGGAUGAACGCUGGCGGCGUGCUUAACACAUGCAAGUCGAACGAACCUUCAGGUUAGUGGCGGACGGGUGAGUAACGCGUGGGAAUCUGCCCUCAGGAGGGGGAUAACGGCUGGAAACGGCCGCUAAUACCCCAUAUGCCGAGAGGUGAAAAGAAAUUCGCCUGAGGAUGAGCCCGCGUCUGAUUAACUAGUUGGUGGGGUAAGAGCUCACCAAGGCGACGAUCAGUAGCUGGUCUGAGAGGAUGAUCAGCCACACUGGGACUGAGACACGGCCCAGACUCCUACGGGAGGCAGCAGUGGGGAAUUUUCCGCAAUGGGCGAAAGCCUGACGGAGCAACGCCGCGUGAGGGAUGUAGGCCUCUGGGCUGUAAACCUCUUUUCUCAAGGAAGAAGACAUGACGGUACUUGAGGAAUAAGCCACGGCUAAUUCCGUGCCAGCAGCCGCGGUAAUACGGGAGUGGCAAGCGUUAUCCGGAAUUAUUGGGCGUAAAGCGUCCGCAGGCGGCCCUGUAAGUCUGUCGUUAAAGCGUGGAGCUUAACUCCAUUUAAGCGAUGGAAACUACAGGGCUUGAGUGUGGUAGGGGCAGAGGGAAUUCCCGGUGUAGCGGUGAAAUGCGUAGAUAUCGGGAAGAACACCAGUGGCGAAGGCGCUCUGCUGGGCCAUAACUGACGCUCAUGGACGAAAGCCAGGGGAGCGAAAGGGAUUAGAUACCCCUGUAGUCCUGGCCGUAAACGAUGAACACUAGGUGUCGGGGGAAUCGACCCCCUCGGUGUCGUAGCCAACGCGUUAAGUGUUCCGCCUGGGGAGUACGCACGCAAGUGUGAAACUCAAAGGAAUUGACGGGGGCCCGCACAAGCGGUGGAGUAUGUGGUUUAAUUCGAUGCAACGCGAAGAACCUUACCAGGGUUUGACAUCCUGCGAAUCCCUUGGAAACGAGGGAGUGCCUUCGGGAGCGCAGAGGCAGGUGGUGCAUGGCUGUCGUCAGCUCGUGUCGUGAGAUGUUGGGUUAAGUCCCGCAACGAGCGCAACCCACGUCUUUAGUUGCCAGCAUUCAGUUGGGCACUCUAGAGAGACCGCCGGUGAUAAACCGGAGGAAGGUGUGGAUGACGUCAAGUCAUCAUGCCCCUUACAUCCUGGGCUACACGCGUACUACAAUGCUACGGACAAAGGGCAGCAAGCUCGCGAGAGUUAGCAAAUCCCAUAAACCGUGGCUCAGUUCAGAUCGUAGGCUGCAACUCGCCUACGUGAAGGAGGAAUCGCUAGUAAUCGCAGGUCAGCAUACUGCGGUGAAUACGUUCCCGGGCCUUGUACACACCGCCCGUCACACCAUGGAAGUU